Molecule: ribosomal RNA, 26 nt
Filed under: Amylomyces rouxii
Lineage: Eukaryota; Fungi; Mucoromycota; Mucoromycetes; Mucorales; Mucoraceae
Description: partial 28S ribosomal RNA
Source: RNAcentral
AUUUGAUCUGAAAUCAGGCGGAUACC